CUACGUGCCAGCAGCCGCGGUAAUACGUAGGUCCCGAGCGUUGUCCGGAUUUAUUGGGCGUAAAGCGAGCGCAGGCGGUUUGAUAAGUCUGAAGUUAAAGGCUGUGGCUCAACCAUAGUUCGCUUUGGAAACUGUCAAACUUGAGUGCAGAAGGGGAGAGUGGAAUUCCAUGUGUAGCGGUGAAAUGCGUAGAUAUAUGGAGGAACACCGGUGGCGAAAGCGGCUCUCCGGUCUGUAACUGACGCUGAGGCUCGAAAGCGUGGGGAGCGAACAGGAUUAGAUACCCUGGUAGUCCACGCCGUAAACGAUGAGUGCUAGGUGUUGGAUCCUUUCCGGGAUUCAGUGCCGCAGCUAACGCAUUAAGCACUCCGCCUGGGGAGUACGACCGCAAGGUUGAAACUCAAAGGAAUUGACGGGGGCCCGCACAAGCGGUGGAGCAUGUGGUUUAAUUCGAAGCAACGCGAAGAACCUUACCAGGUCUUGACAUCCCGAUGCUAUUUCUAGAGAUAGAAAGUU
RNAcentral lists this ribosomal RNA (516 nucleotides) under uncultured bacterium. Its description in RNAcentral is "bacterial SSU rRNA". It matches the Rfam family "Bacterial small subunit ribosomal RNA", at positions 501 to 1015 of the family's 1533-position model. The record is from RNAcentral.